Molecule: ribosomal RNA, 253 nt
Filed under: uncultured bacterium
Lineage: Bacteria
Description: partial 16S ribosomal RNA
Rfam family: Bacterial small subunit ribosomal RNA
Source: RNAcentral
UACAGAGGGUGCGAGCGUUGUCCGGAAUUACUGGGCGUAAAGGGCUCGUAGGUGGCCAACUAAGUCAGACGUGAAAUCCCUCGGCUUAACCGGGGAACUGCGUCUGAUACUGGAUGGCUUGAGUUUGGGAGAGGGAUGCGGAAUUCCAGGUGUAGCGGUGAAAUGCGUAGAUAUCUGGAGGAACACCGGUGGCGAAGGCGGCAUCCUGGACCAACACUGACACUGAGGAGCGAAAGCCAGGGGAGCAAACGGG